RNAcentral lists this ribosomal RNA (409 nucleotides) under Actinomycetes bacterium. RNAcentral's name for it is "Actinobacteria bacterium partial 16S ribosomal RNA". It matches the Rfam family "Bacterial small subunit ribosomal RNA", at positions 355 to 776 of the family's 1533-position model. Lineage: Bacteria; Bacillati; Actinomycetota; Actinomycetes. The record is from RNAcentral.
UGGGGAAUAUUGCACAAUGGGCGCAAGCCUGAUGCAGCGACGCCGCGUGAGGGAUGACGGCCUUCGGGUUGUAAACCUCUUUCAGUAGGGAAGAAGCGAAAGUGACGGUACCUGCAGAAGAAGCGCCGGCUGACUACGUGCCAGCAGCCGCGGUAAUACGUAGGGCGCAAGCGUUAUCCGGAAUUAUUGGGCGUAAAGAGCUCGUAGGCGGUUUGUCGCGUCUGCCGUGAAAGUCCGGGGCUCAACUCCGGAUCUGCGGUGGGUACGGGCAGACUAGAGUGAUGUAGGGGAGACUGGAAUUCCUGGUGUAGCGGUGAAAUGCGCAGAUAUCAGGAGGAACACCGAUGGCGAAGGCAGGUCUCUGGGCAUUAACUGACGCUGAGGAGCGAAAGCAUGGGGAGCGAACAGG